RNAcentral lists this ribosomal RNA (497 nucleotides) under uncultured bacterium. RNAcentral describes it as "partial 16S ribosomal RNA". It matches the Rfam family "Bacterial small subunit ribosomal RNA", at positions 28 to 507 of the family's 1533-position model. The record is from RNAcentral.
GACGAACGCUGGCGGCGUGCCUAAUACAUGCAAGUAGAACGCUGAAGAGAGGAGCUUGCUCUUCUUGGAUGAGUUGCGAACGGGUGAGUAACGCGUAGGUAACCUGCCUUGUAGCGGGGGAUAACUAUUGGAAACGAUAGCUAAUACCGCAUAACAAUGGAUGACACAUGUCAUUUAUUUGAAAGGGGCAAUUGUUCCACUACAAGAUGGACCUGCGUUGUAUUAGCUAGUAGGUGAGGUAAUGGCUCACCUAGGCGACGAUACAUAGCCGACCUGAGAGGGUGAUCGGCCACACUGGGACUGAGACACGGCCCAGACGCCUACGGGAGGCAGCAGUAGGGAAUCUUCGGCAAUGGGGGCAACCCUGACCGAGCAACGCCGCGUGAGUGAAGAAGGUUGUCGGAUCGUAAAGCUCUGUUGUAAGUCAAGAACGGGUGUGAGAGUGGAAAGUUCACACUGUGACGGUAGCUUACCAGAAAGGGACGGCUAACUACGUG